UGAGGAAUAUUGCCCAAUGGACGCAAGUCUGAGGCAGCAACGCCGCGUGGGCGAUGAAGGCCUUCGGGUUGUAAAGCCCUUUUCUGGGGGACGAGGAAGGACGGUACCUCAGGAAUAAGUCACGGCUAACUACGUGCCAGCAGCCGCGGUAAUACGUAGGUGGCGAGCGUUAUCCGGAUUCACUGGGCGUAAAGCGCGUGCAGGCGGUUUCGUAAGUCGGACGUGAAAGCUCCUGGCUUAACUGGGAGAGGUCGUUCGAUACUGCGGGGCUUGAGGUCGGGAGAGGGACGUGGAAUUCCCGGUGUAGUGGUGGAAUGCGUAGAUAUCGGGAGGAACACCAGUGGCGAAGGCGACGUCCUGGCCCGCACCUGACGCUGAGACGCGAAAGCAUGGGUAGCAAACGGGAUUAGAUACCCCGGUAGUCCACGCUGUAAACGGUGGGUACUAGGUGUUGGUGGCUAUCGUCAUCAGUGCCGCAGCUAACGCGUUAAGUACCCAG
Molecule: ribosomal RNA, 499 nt
Filed under: uncultured Chloroflexota bacterium
Lineage: Bacteria; Bacillati; Chloroflexota
Description: bacterial SSU rRNA
Rfam family: Bacterial small subunit ribosomal RNA
Source: RNAcentral